GAGGGUGUAGCUCAGGGGUAGAAUGCAUGCCCAGCAUGCAUGAGGUCCUGGGUUAAAUCCCCAGUACCUCCC
RNAcentral lists this transfer RNA (72 nucleotides) under Camelus bactrianus (Bactrian camel). It matches the Rfam family "tRNA". From Rfam's summary of the family: Transfer RNA (tRNA) molecules are approximately 80 nucleotides in length. Their secondary structure includes four short double-helical elements and three loops (D, anti-codon, and T loops). The record is from Rfam by way of RNAcentral. RNAcentral also lists the same sequence under 2 other names. Lineage: Eukaryota; Metazoa; Chordata; Mammalia; Artiodactyla; Camelidae.